This 422-nucleotide ribosomal RNA is filed under the name uncultured Glomeromycotina. Its description in RNAcentral is "SSU rRNA". It matches the Rfam family "Eukaryotic small subunit ribosomal RNA", at positions 671 to 1092 of the family's 1831-position model. The record is from RNAcentral. Lineage: Eukaryota; Fungi; Glomeromycota.
CGGUACGUACUGGCAUUGUUGGUUUCUCCCUUCUGACGAACCAUGAUGUCAUUUAUUUGGUGUUGUGGGGAAUCAGGACUGUUACUUUGAAAAAAUUAGAGUGUUUAAAGCAGGCUCACGCUUGAAUACAUUAGCAUGGAAUAAUGAAAUAGGACGUUAAUCCUAUUUUGUUGGUUUCUAGGAUCGACGUAAUGAUUAAUAGGGAUAGUUGGGGGCAUUAGUAUUCAAUUGUCAGAGGUGAAAUUCUUGGAUUUAUUGAAGACUAACUACUGCGAAAGCAUUUGCCAAGGAUGUUUUCAUUAAUCAAGAACGAAAGUUAGGGGAUCGAAGACGAUCAGAUACCGUCGUAGUCUUAACCAUAAACUAUGCCGACUAGGGAUCGGAUGAUGUUAAUUUUUUAAUGACUCAUUCGGCGCCUUACG